RNAcentral lists this ribosomal RNA (859 nucleotides) under Delesseria sanguinea. RNAcentral describes it as "LSU rRNA". It matches the Rfam family "Eukaryotic large subunit ribosomal RNA", at positions 985 to 1851 of the family's 3401-position model. The record is from RNAcentral. Lineage: Eukaryota; Rhodophyta; Florideophyceae; Ceramiales; Delesseriaceae.
GCCCAAUUUGAGUGUUGUGUGUGGUAAAGCGAAUGAUUAGCAUACUCGGGGUCGUUUAGACUUCGGAUGAUUCUCAAACUUUAAAUGCGCACGGAUGUUGCCGCUUGGGUGGGCGGCAUCUCUAAAAACUUGGGCUUUGUGGGCCACUUUUGGUAAGCAGAACUGGCGAUACGGGAUGAACCGUAAGUGUGGUUAAGGCGUCAAAUUGUCCGCUUAUAGAUUCCAAAAAAGGUGUUGAUUCAUCGAGACAGCAGGACGGUGGCCAUGGAAGUCGGAAUCCGCUAAGGAGUGUGUAACAACUCACCUGCCGAAUGAAUUAGCCCUGAAAAUGGAUGACGCUAAAGCGGGCAGCCGACACCACACCGUUUGGGCAAAAUGAACGUCUAAAUGAGUAGGAGGAACGUGGCGGUCGUGUUGAAGCGUGCGUGCAAACGUGCGUGGAACGGCCGCUAGUGCAGAUCUUGGUGUUAGUAGCAAAUAUUCAAAUGAGAACCUUGAAGGGCGAAGCGGGGAAGGGUUCCACGCGAACAUUGAUUGAGCGUGGGUAAGUCGUUCCUAAGCCGCGUGGCAAUAGCUAAUUACCGGCGAAAGGGAAGCAGGUUGAUAUUCCUGCACACGGAUGUGGAAGCGGUGACGCAUACUUGGGACGGUGAAGCUGGCGAUGGCUCUGGGCAGAGUUUUCUUUUCUGUUUAACUAACUGUGCUUGCAGUGUGGAAUCCGCUUGUCGGGAGAAACACGCGAGUUUGGGAAUAGCGCCGGGUUUUUUUCCGGCGUCCAGAACGCCAUCGUCGGACCUUGAAAAACUGUCUGCAGGCAAUAUUUAAUUGUCUUAUGUAAUCCACGCCGUAACGUACCGUA